CCUACGGGCGGCAGCAGUAGGGAAUAUUGCACAAUGGGGGAAACCCUGAAGCAGCAACGCCGCGUGGAGGAUGAAGGUUUUCGGAUUGUAAACUCCUUUUGUUAGAGAAGAUACUGACGGUAUCUAACGAAUAAGCACCGGCUAACUCCGUGCCAGCAGCCGCGGUAAUACGGAGGGGGCCAGCGUUAAUCGGAAUCACUGGGCGUAAAGGGCGCGUAGGCGGGAUAGCAAGUCAGAGGUGAAAUCCUAUGGCUUAACCAUAGAACUGCAUUUGAAACUGUUAUUCUAGAGUAUGGGAGAGGUAGGUGGAAUUCUUGGUGUAGGGGUAAAAUCCGUAGAGAUCAAGAGGAAUACUCAUGGCGAAGGCGACCUGCUAGAACAUAACUGACGCUGAGGCGCGAAAGCGUGGGGAGCAAACAGGAUUAGAUACCCUAGUAGUC
Molecule: ribosomal RNA, 440 nt
Filed under: uncultured bacterium
Lineage: Bacteria
Description: partial 16S ribosomal RNA
Rfam family: Bacterial small subunit ribosomal RNA
Source: RNAcentral